This is a long non-coding RNA of Osmia bicornis bicornis, 1792 nucleotides long. RefSeq lists it as uncharacterized. The record is from RefSeq and is a predicted model, not a curated record. The transcript is spliced from 3 exons. Lineage: Eukaryota; Metazoa; Arthropoda; Insecta; Hymenoptera; Megachilidae.
UACGUAUUAUUAGCACUCCGUCACGCUCCUGUCAUCGCCACGUACGCUUUCCUACGCUUCUCUACGUGUGCGCGCGUCAACGCGCCGAAAUUCCUGAAUAACCUCCACCACUUCCUACCUGUCCCUCCACAAUUUUCAACAACACUUGCCGAUAUCGAAAUUUCCCUUCCUUGUCCUCUUCCUCUUUCUCUUCUUAUCUCCCUCUCUCUAUGUCUCUUUUUUUAUUUUUCUCACUUACAUUGAGCUUCGAAGAAAGAUUUACGAUCCGACCAAAUUGAUCCUCGUAUCGGGUCGUGAAGCUGUCAAUUUACUAACUAAUUAAAAUUUAUACAAAAUUUAUAAUAAGGUCGAUUCGUAGGCAAAGUUUUGAUUGUGCGGGAAUCGGCCGUAAGUUUGGACGGCUGAUACCGUCACUCGCAGACGAGUCGAAGCCACGUUUUACACGACGCGACGAUCGAAAGCGGAUCCUAACACUCUGCGGGCAUUCGUAAUUUACGAGUUACCGGCUCCGCUCGGGCUAAUUUUCGUGCUGGGUGAAAAUUACACCAACGCGGGGCUGGUGCUCUCUGCGACGAGCGAGAGACAGAGAAAGCAUCUCGUUCCCUCCCACUUUUCUCUUUCACUCCCUCGCCCUGAAAGUGACGCAAAAUCGUGCUGCCGGCGCGGGCUGGCUUGUACCGAGAUGUCGAUAGCACGAGGAGCGGAUGUCAAUAGCACGAAGUCGCUCCUCUCGCGAGGGAGAAACCGCGUCAACCGAUUUUACAGGAUUUUCGCGGUAACGCUAGGAGAAAACCCGCGAUCCUUCUCGAUCGUUCGCUCUGGAUCCCAAGUUGACGCGGUGUUUGCGCGAAUCCUCGUGUCUCGAUGAACCGAACUUCCAAGGAGAAGGCGAAACAACUUUUCAAUAGCUCUCUUUUUGCCCCCCAGAUACGAAUAUAGCAGCCCUUGCAACCGUUCGAUCCGAAUCGCUGCCGGUGACACUCUCUCUGCGGCUUUAACCCGCCGUACUUCCAGCUGGCUUUUGUAUUACUUUACACGACGAAGGCUGUUCUCCUUGUGCCCGUGUCAUCGAGACGCAACUAGCCUGCUUUGUGUCUCUCGUUGACAAAGAGCGCGUAUUGUGCUAACCGCGUUCCACGCUUCUCUUCUGGCCGCACGUGCAGCCGCGGAAGAACCAGACUGACUAUCCAACGAAACAGGAUUCUUAUUUCGAAGAAUCGUUGACGCGUCCUCGAGGGAAAAGAGGGAAACAGGAUGGAACGGAUAGAAAACAGCUGAGGCGCAGCUGGUUUCUGGCAUCGCGACGGCUGGCGUCUUCCACACGGUGCCUCGCGCCUAUGUACAUAUGCACGGCGCCUGACGUAUGUGUACAAACCAUCCAUGGUAGAAAGCAGAAUCGUAAUCGUUAUUCGAACAACAUUUUUAGAGGAGAAACAAUAAACGAGCCUGAAAAAUGUUGCGAUCUUGAAACGAUAAUCUACAGAAAAACUCAUCUUUAUCAAAUUAACGUCGAAGGGGCUUGUAAAAGAAAUUCCGACGAAUUUGUUAUGCACGUAUUACUGUUUUCGUGAAUCGUCAGAAAGGGAUGCGGAUCUUUACCGUAAAUUACACUUAGAAUCGCGAUCUUAAUUUUGAAAAUUGUACUUCAAUUUAAUUUAAGUAAUUUGCAGUGAUUUAGUAGUCGUGUACAUGCACACGUAUAAUCGCGCGUUUCCAGCUUGCCCUCGUGUUAGCAUCUUUACCGACAUCUCUUCGCGUCGUUGCAAACUACGAGUCGCGGUUUAAAUCGAUU